RNAcentral lists this ribosomal RNA (468 nucleotides) under uncultured bacterium. RNAcentral describes it as "partial 16S ribosomal RNA". It matches the Rfam family "Bacterial small subunit ribosomal RNA", at positions 28 to 507 of the family's 1533-position model. The record is from RNAcentral.
GACGAACGCUGGCGGCGUGCUUAACACAUGCAAGUCGAACGGAAAGGCCCUGCUUUUGUGGGGUGCUCGAGUGGCGAACGGGUGAGUAACACGUGAGUAACCUGCCCUUGACUUUGGGAUAACUUCAGGAAACUGGGGCUAAUACCGGAUAGGAGCUCCUGCUGCAUGGUGGGGGUUGGAAAGUUUCGGCGGUUGGGGAUGGACUCGCGGCUUAUCAGCUUGUUGGUGGGGUAGUGGCUUACCAAGGCUUUGACGGGUAGCCGGCCUGAGAGGGUGACCGGCCACAUUGGGACUGAGAUACGGCCCAGACUCCUACGGGAGGCAGCAGUGGGGAAUAUUGCACAAUGGGCGGAAGCCUGAUGCAGCAACGCCGCGUGCGGGAUGACGGCCUUCGGGUUGUAAACCGCUUGCGCCUGGGACGAAGCGUGAGUGACGGUAAUGGGUAAAGAAGCACCGGCUAACUACGUG